GACGAACGCUGGCGGCGUGCCUAAUACAUGCAAGUAGAACGCACAGUUUAUACCGUAGCUUGCUACACCAUAGACUGUGAGUUGCGAACGGGUGAGUAACGCGUAGGUAACCUGCCUGGUAGCGGGGGAUAACUAUUGGAAACGAUAGCUAAUACCGCAUAAUAUUAAUUAUUGCAUGAUAAUUAAUUGAAAGGUGCAAUUGCACCACUACCAGAUGGACCUGCGUUGUAUUAGCUAGUAGGUGAGGUAACGGCUCACCUAGGCGACGAUACAUAGCCGAACUGAGAGGGGGAUCGGCCAAACUGGGAAUGAGACACGGCCCAGACUCCUACGGGAGGCAGCAGUAGGGAAUCUUCGGCAAUGGACGAAAGUCUGACCGAGCAACGCCGCGUGAGUGAAGAAGGUUGUCGGAUCGUAAAGCUCUGUUGUAAGAGAAGAACGGGUGUGAGAGUGGAAAGUUCACACUGUGACGGUAUCUUACCAGUAAGGGACGGCUAACUACGUG
RNAcentral lists this ribosomal RNA (505 nucleotides) under uncultured bacterium. RNAcentral's name for it is "partial 16S ribosomal RNA". It matches the Rfam family "Bacterial small subunit ribosomal RNA", at positions 28 to 507 of the family's 1533-position model. The record is from RNAcentral.